CUGGCCUCCCGUAGUGCCUUGAAGAGAGCUAGAUUUAGAAGAAAUAUUACUUCAGCUCUCAGGAUGGAAAAAGAUCUAGCCAGGAGGCAGAGACUCUGGAAAAGUGCUAAUAAAUUGUUACUGCCUGCUAUUAAAAGGAUCGAUAAGAUGGUGAAACUGAGAAGUUAAAGGACUUGUCCAAAGUCACAUAGUUGGCAAAGCCCGCAAACAUUUCUGGCUGAAUCUCUGCACUUCCCGGGUUCUGCAGCUAUGUCCUACGAAAAGGAAACGGUUUCUCCG
This is a long non-coding RNA of Balaenoptera ricei (Rice's whale), 279 nucleotides long. RefSeq lists it as uncharacterized. The record is from RefSeq and is a predicted model, not a curated record. Lineage: Eukaryota; Metazoa; Chordata; Mammalia; Artiodactyla; Balaenopteridae. The transcript is spliced from 3 exons.